GACGAACGCUGGCGGCGUGCCUAAUACAUGCAAGUUGAGCGCUGAAGGUUGGUACUUGUACCAACUGGAUCAGCAGCGAACGGGUGAGUAACGCGUGGGGAAUCUGCCUUUGAGCGGGGGACAACAUUUGGAAACGAAUGCUAAUACCGCAUAAAAACUUUAAACACAAGUUUUAAGUUUGAAAGAUGCAAUUGCAUCACUCAAAGAUGAUCCCGCGUUGUAUUAGCUAGUUGGUGAGGUAAAGGCUCACCAAGGCGAUGAUACAUAGCCGACCUGAGAGGGUGAUCGGCCACAUUGGGACUGAGACACGGCCCAAACUCCUACGGGAGGCUGCAGUAGGGAAUCUUCGGCAAUGGACGAAAGUCUGACCGAGCAACGCCGCGUGAGUGAAGAAGGUUUUCGGAUCGUAAAACUCUGUUGGUAGAGAAGAACGUUGGUGAGAGUGGAAAGCUCAUCAAGUGACGGUAACUACCCAGAAAGGGACGGCUAACUACGUG
RNAcentral lists this ribosomal RNA (497 nucleotides) under uncultured bacterium. Its description in RNAcentral is "partial 16S ribosomal RNA". It matches the Rfam family "Bacterial small subunit ribosomal RNA", at positions 28 to 507 of the family's 1533-position model. The record is from RNAcentral.